UUAAGCGACUAAGCGUACACGGUGGAUGCCCUGGCAGUCAGAGGCGAUGAAGGACGUGCUAAUCUGCGAUAAGCGUCGGUAAGGUGAUAUGAACCGUUAUAACCGGCGAUUUCCGAAUGGGGAAACCCAGUGUGAUUCGUCACACUAUCAUUAACUGAAUCCAUAGGUUAAUGAGGCGAACCGGGGGAACUGAAACAUCUAAGUACCCCGAGGAAAAGAAAUCAACCGAGAUUCCCCCAGUAGCGGCGAGCGAACGGGGAGCAGCCCAGAGCCUGAAUCAGUGUGUGUGUUAGUGGAAGCGUCUGGAAAGGCGCGCGAUACAGGGUGACAGUCCCGUACACAAAAAUGCACAUGCUGUGAGCUCGAUGAGUAGGGCGGGACACGUGGUAUCCUGUCUGAAUAUGGGGGGACCAUCCUCCAAGGCUAAAUACUCCUGACUGACCGAUAGUGAACCAGUACCGUGAGGGAAAGGCGAAAAGAACCCCGGCGAGGGGAGUGAAAAAGAACCUGAAACCGUGUACGUACAAGCAGUGGGAGCACGCUUAGGCGUGUGACUGCGUACCUUUUGUAUAAUGGGUCAGCGACUUAUAUUCUGUAGCAAGGUUAACCGAAUAGGGGAGCCGAAGGGAAACCGAGUCUUAACUGGGCGUUAAGUUGCAGGGUAUAGACCCGAAACCCGGUGAUCUAGCCAUGGGCAGGUUGAAGGUUGGGUAACACUAACUGGAGGACCGAACCGACUAAUGUUGAAAAAUUAGCGGAUGACUUGUGGCUGGGGGUGAAAGGCCAAUCAAACCGGGAGAUAGCUGGUUCUCCCCGAAAGCUAUUUAGGUAGCGCCUCGUGAAUUCAUCUCCGGGGGUAGAGCACUGUUUCGGCAAGGGGGUCAUCCCGACUUACCAACCCGAUGCAAACUGCGAAUACCGGAGAAUGUUAUCACGGGAGACACACGGCGGGUGCUAACGUCCGUCGUGAAGAGGGAAACAACCCAGACCGCCAGCUAAGGUCCCAAAGUCAUGGUUAAGUGGGAAACGAUGUGGGAAGGCCCAGACAGCCAGGAUGUUGGCUUAGAAGCAGCCAUCAUUUAAAGAAAGCGUAAUAGCUCACUGGUCGAGUCGGCCUGCGCGGAAGAUGUAACGGGGCUAAACCAUGCACCGAAGCUGCGGCAGCGACGCUGAUGCGUUGUUGGGUAGGGGAGCGUUCUGUAAGCCUGCGAAGGUGUGCUGUGAGGCAUGCUGGAGGUAUCAGAAGUGCGAAUGCUGACAUAAGUAACGAUAAAGCGGGUGAAAAGCCCGCUCGCCGGAAGACCAAGGGUUCCUGUCCAACGUUAAUCGGGGCAGGGUGAGUCGACCCCUAAGGCGAGGCCGAAAGGCGUAGUCGAUGGGAAACAGGUUAAUAUUCCUGUACUUGGUGUUACUGCGAAGGGGGGACGGAGAAGGCUAUGUUGGCCGGGCGACGGUUGUCCCGGUUUAAGCGUGUAGGCUGGUUUUCCAGGCAAAUCCGGAAAAUCAAGGCUGAGGCGUGAUGACGAGGCACUACGGUGCUGAAGCAACAAAUGCCCUGCUUCCAGGAAAAGCCUCUAAGCAUCAGGUAACAUCAAAUCGUACCCCAAACCGACACAGGUGGUCAGGUAGAGAAUACCAAGGCGCUUGAGAGAACUCGGGUGAAGGAACUAGGCAAAAUGGUGCCGUAACUUCGGGAGAAGGCACGCUGAUAUGUAGGUGAAGUCCCUCGCGGAUGGAGCUGAAAUCAGUCGAAGAUACCAGCUGGCUGCAACUGUUUAUUAAAAACACAGCACUGUGCAAACACGAAAGUGGACGUAUACGGUGUGACGCCUGCCCGGUGCCGGAAGGUUAAUUGAUGGGGUUAGCGCAAGCGAAGCUCUUGAUCGAAGCCCCGGUAAACGGCGGCCGUAACUAUAACGGUCCUAAGGUAGCGAAAUUCCUUGUCGGGUAAGUUCCGACCUGCACGAAUGGCGUAAUGAUGGCCAGGCUGUCUCCACCCGAGACUCAGUGAAAUUGAACUCGCUGUGAAGAUGCAGUGUACCCGCGGCAAGACGGAAAGACCCCGUGAACCUUUACUAUAGCUUGACACUGAACAUUGAGCCUUGAUGUGUAGGAUAGGUGGGAGGCUUUGAAGUGUGGACGCCAGUCUGCAUGGAGCCGACCUUGAAAUACCACCCUUUAAUGUUUGAUGUUCUAACGUUGACCCGUAAUCCGGGUUGCGGACAGUGUCUGGUGGGUAGUUUGACUGGGGCGGUCUCCUCCUAAAGAGUAACGGAGGAGCACGAAGGUUGGCUAAUCCUGGUCGGACAUCAGGAGGUUAGUGCAAUGGCAUAAGCCAGCUUGACUGCGAGCGUGACGGCGCGAGCAGGUGCGAAAGCAGGUCAUAGUGAUCCGGUGGUUCUGAAUGGAAGGGCCAUCGCUCAACGGAUAAAAGGUACUCCGGGGAUAACAGGCUGAUACCGCCCAAGAGUUCAUAUCGACGGCGGUGUUUGGCACCUCGAUGUCGGCUCAUCACAUCCUGGGGCUGAAGUAGGUCCCAAGGGUAUGGCUGUUCGCCAUUUAAAGUGGUACGCGAGCUGGGUUUAGAACGUCGUGAGACAGUUCGGUCCCUAUCUGCCGUGGGCGCUGGAGAACUGAGGGGGGCUGCUCCUAGUACGAGAGGACCGGAGUGGACGCAUCACUGGUGUUCGGGUUGUCAUGCCAAUGGCACUGCCCGGUAGCUAAAUGCGGAAGAGAUAAGUGCUGAAAGCAUCUAAGCACGAAACUUGCCCCGAGAUGAGUUCUCCUGACUCCUUGAGAGUCCUGAAGGAACGUUGAAGACGACGACGUUGAUAGGCCGGGUGUGUAAGCGCAGCGAUGCGUUGAGCUAACCGGUACUAAUGAACCGUGAGGCUUAACCU
RNAcentral lists this ribosomal RNA (2900 nucleotides) under Escherichia coli. RNAcentral's name for it is "23S ribosomal RNA". It matches the Rfam family "Bacterial large subunit ribosomal RNA". The record is from RNAcentral. Lineage: Bacteria; Pseudomonadati; Pseudomonadota; Gammaproteobacteria; Enterobacterales; Enterobacteriaceae.